GCUGGGCAUGGAGGCUCAUGCCUGUAAUCCCAAUGGCUUGGGAGGCUGAGACAGGAGGAUCUCAAGUUCAAAGCCAGCCUCAGCAAAAACUGAGGAGCUAAGCAACUCAGUGAGACCCUGUCUCUA
RNAcentral lists this small RNA (126 nucleotides) under Marmota monax (woodchuck). Lineage: Eukaryota; Metazoa; Chordata; Mammalia; Rodentia; Sciuridae. The record is from RNAcentral.